Molecule: ribosomal RNA, 780 nt
Filed under: uncultured Neocallimastigales
Lineage: Eukaryota; Fungi; Neocallimastigomycota; Neocallimastigomycetes; Neocallimastigales
Description: partial large subunit ribosomal RNA
Rfam family: Eukaryotic large subunit ribosomal RNA
Source: RNAcentral
UAUCUCUGUAGAGUCUGCAUAUCAAUAAGCGGAGGAAAAGAAACUAACUAAGGAUUCCCUCAGUAACGGCGAGUGAAGCGGGAAGAGCUCAAAUUUGAAAUCUUCAAGGUUCUACCUUGACGAAUUGUAGUUUAAAGAAGUGUUUUCUGUUGAAGUUUCGGUAAAAGUUCUUUGGAAUAGGACAUCAUAGAGGGUGAGAAUCCCGUAUUUGACCAGUUAUUUCCAGCUGUGUGAUACACUUUCAAAGAGUCGGAUUGUUUGGGAAUGCAGUCCAAAAUGGGUGGUAAAUUUCAUCUAAAGCUAAAUACUGGCGAGAGACCGAUAGCGAACAAGUACCGUGAGGGAAAGAUGAAAAGAACUUUGAAAAGAGAGUUAAACAGUACGUGAAAUUGUCAAAAGGGAAGCGUUUGACACCAGUGUUGUUUUCUCGAAAAUCAAUUAAAAAAGUCAGGAUUUUGUAUUGUAAGUGACUUAUCAGCUUACUGCUACUCUUUUCUUGUCUUUUUUAAUGCACUUUUCGUUUAACAAGUCAACAUCAAUUUCUUUUGUUGUAAAAGAGUCAUUGGAAGGUGGCUUUCACUUUCGGUGAAAGUGUUUAUAGCCUUUGGCCUCUGCAAUCGGAGAGAUUGAGGUCUGCAGCGUAGAUCCUUCGGGGUUAGAUACAGUUAGAUGCUAAGUUAUAGCCUUUUCAUAGACAACUUGUUGACUAUAAUCAUCAUGUAGCUUACUCGCUUAUGCUAUUUUACCUACGCUUAGGAUGUUGAAGAUGUAGCACAUCAU